Eupeodes corollae is the source of this 3153-nucleotide RNA transcript. It is a transcript of the gene named monocarboxylate transporter 10, with no coding region annotated. NCBI's taxonomy places the organism in Eukaryota, Metazoa, Arthropoda, Insecta, Diptera, Syrphidae. The record is from RefSeq and is a predicted model, not a curated record. The transcript is spliced from 6 exons.
AAUAUUUUUAAUUACUCGAACCCAGUAAGCGUAGCGGGUUGGUCGACUUCUCGUCUUGGUCUUCACAUAAUUCGUUUAUCCGUUUAUCUCCCUCAAGAAAUCGAAAUAAAAUAAAAGAAAAUAUUGAAAGUAAAAAAUCUUACAAUAAAGUACAAAAUAAAGGAACAAGAAAGUGUUUUGCUUACAUAUUUCUCGUUGUCAUACAAACGCGGUGUUUUAUAUUUAACUUGCUGAAUCUUGAAUCUUUUUGUAUGUUUAUUUUCGAAUCGAUAUCUUCUGAGUUUCAAUCAUUUUUGAAGUAGUGUGGUUUCGAGUGAUAUCCCCACAUUCGAUUCGAAUUUUUUGACGCGCAUAGUUAAGUUAAGUCGUUCUAGAAAUCGGAAGGAAUUUGUGUUUCGUGCUCGUGACAUUGAUUGUCGAAUUUGAUUCUUCGAAACGUGUGUUUCUAUUUAACAAUAAUAAUUUGUGCUCUGUCACAUAAAUUGUUUACCUCCUGAUGUUUAUUUCGAUUAACAGUGGCGGAUUGUUUGCUAUUAAAUUGAGCGAACAAAAAACGGAUUGGAUAGACAUCUGAUGAUCAAACCAACUUUCAUACACCAAUAUGCUUUUCUCAUUAAAGAUUUAAAUUAAAACGAAACUUAAAAAAAAAAUUCAUUAUUUUAUUAUUACAAAAACAAAACUAAAUUAAAUCGCUUAACCACGGAUUAAAAACAUAUAUUUUGAAGAUAUGACAGAAAAUGAACCCCUUAACCAUAAUGGCAGCAUAAAAGCCCAAAUAAUAUCAACAACAACAAAUCAUACAGAAAAUGGAACCGUUCUCAAUGGACAUGCCAUCAAACCGAUCACAAAUGGUGUCCAUCAUACAAAUAAAUCAAGUCAUGCAUCACUUGAUGGAGGAUCACCUGUUAGCACACCCCCAUCAAUGCACAUGCACACAAAUAACAAGCCAAUUGUUGUUGUUCAAAUACUGGAGCCCCCUGAUGGAGGCACCCGAGCAUGGCUUGUUAUGAUAAGUGCCUUUUUGUGUAACGGUGUGAUAUUUGGAAUUAUCAAUACCUAUAGUGUAAUACAUUCGUUCCUGCAGGAAAAAUUAACUGAACAACAUGAUACUGAGGCGUCCAGUAAAGCAGCCCUGGUGGGUUCCUUGGCGAUCGGCACAACAUUCCUUUUAUCGCCCGUUGCCGGCAUGCUCACCGACAAAAUCGGUUUGCGAAGAACAACAUUCAUUGGCGGAGUUCUAUCUGCAAGCGGACUCUUCCUAUCGUCAUUUUUUACGCAUAAAAUUGAGGCACUCUACUUAACCUAUGGCAUUAUGUUUGGAUUUGGAGCGGCUUUAGCUUAUACACCAUCUUUGGCUAUAUUGGGACAUUAUUUCAAGCGCUACUUGGGCAAAGUGAGCGGCUUUGUAACUGCUGGUUCGAGUGUAUUCACUGUAAUACUUCCACCCGCUCUCGAUUACCUUAUCAAAGGCCAUGGUCUCCAAAUAACACUUCAAGUGAUGGGAGGGAUAUCGUGUUUUAUAAUUGUGUGUUCCUUUGUCUAUAAGCCAUUGCAUCUUCCACCAGAGCCACCAAAAAAGAAACCGGGACGAUCUGAGUUCAAUUUGUUUUUGCGAUCCAUAAUCAAUGUGGAUAUUUGGAAGCGCAAACGUUAUGUCAUUUGGGCACUGUGUGUACCGAUGGCCUUGUUCGGUUACUUUGUUCCCUAUGUCCAUAUGGUGGAGUUUGUGAAGACAGCUUUUCCCGGAAAGAGCGAGAAUCUACCGGUAAUGUGUAUCGGUGUUACGUCGGGAAUUGGACGUUUGAUCUUUGGAGCCAUUGCUGAUUUGCCAGGCGUGAAUCGCAUUUAUCUACAGCAGUUGUCUCUGGUGUGCAUAGGAUUGGUCACACUCAUGCUCCCAAUGACCAGCUCCUAUGUCUUACUUAUUGUAUUUACCCUGGUUAUGGGUUUGUUCGAUGGGUGUUUUAUAUCCCUACUCGGACCAAUUGCCUAUCAAAUAUGUGGACCUCAAGGAGCCACACAAGCCAUUGGCUUCCUCCUGGGUCUGAGUUCUCUGCCGCUUACUGUUGGGCCUCCGAUUGCUGGCAAAAUAUACGACAGAACGGGUUCAUACACGCUUCCAUUGAUUCUAGCAGGCAUUCCACCCAUCGUUGGAGGAACACUUAUGUUCCUUAUCAAAUGUGUUAAAGAUGAUGGCGUAGGAAAGGACGUUGAAAAAAGUAAAGCACUGCCAAAAGCUGCAUGGAAUGAGGAGAUUAAAGCGAAUGCACCACUCAUGAAUGGAAACUCUAGUAAUGGAUCCAGAUUGCAAUUAUCAUCGGUAGCAGCUGCACCAGUUUCAGCUAAUGGAAAUGUCACGCUUGCUACACCAGUGUUGAUCAACAAUAUAGUUUUACCUUUGGAACAACGAUUAUAAAGAUCAUAAAAAAAGAAAAAUAUUUCUUAUGUUGGUAUAAAUUAGAAUUGCUGAAUUAGAAGACAAAUAAUUUAAUCAUAGCAUGGAAACUAAAAAAUCGCUGAGUGAUGUUCACAUAACUACUGAUCUUAAAUGAUUUAAAAUGUAACUUAUUAAACAGAAAUAUUACAAACAAAAAGUUAUAAACACCCAGACGUCUCGCAUAAAAAUAUAAUUAAAUUAUAUAUAAUAAAUCAAAAAAUCUGGAUUAAGCACCUAAAUAUUUAAUUAACGAAAAAUAUGUAAUAUCAAUUAAAACAAACAAACAAAAAUGGCUGUACUUCAUCUGAACAGUUGCUUUUAAGACUUUUUAUACGUUUUUAUUAUAUAAACAGCAAACAAACACAAAGAUUUUAUUUUUUAGUACAAUUAACAAAAAGUAGUUUUAUUUAAAAUACUUAGAUUCAUAAUUCUAUUUUUAAAUAAAUAAAACUAAACAAAGGAAAAACUAUUCAAAAAGCUUUUAAUGCCUUACACUAAACAAAAAAAGAAAAGAUUUUUAUACAUACAUACAUGAAUGUAAUUCAAAUGUAAGAAAGGAAGAAAUUUCAAUUCAAGAAAGACAAAAUAUAUUUUAUAGAGCUAAUAAAAUGGGAUAUCUACACUAUAUUAUAUAUUUUAGUAUUUAAAGUCUAAGUUUAAAAAAAAAUAUUGUUUAAGAAACAUAAAAUAAAUGUAAAUAUAUGUACCUAAUUUAA